UAAGUAAGUGGUGGAAAUUAAACCAAAUGGGAUAUCUUUAGUAAUUGCGAAUGAACAAGGAUAUGCUUAGCUUGACAAAUGGAGCUAUUGGCUUUGAAUUGUAUUGUGGAAAUGUAUUACCAACAGAGGUGCAGGUGCCAGCCUAUUGAAAUAAAGCGUCAAUGAGGGUGAGAAUCCUGUUUGUCAUGUGCAGCCCUUUGCGCACGGUGUAUAUUUGCUGAGUCACACUCCUUGGCAUUGGAAUGCAAAGUGGGUGGUAAGUUUCAUGUAAGGUAAACAUGCAAUUGAGACUGAUAGCACACAAGUACCAUGAGGGAAAUAUGAAAAGGACUUUGAAAAGAGAAUUAAAUGAGUUUGUAUUUGCUGAACACAAAGUAAACAGACUUGAUUUGCUUGGUGGGAGUGUUGCACUUGCUUGACAAGAGCUUUGGGCUGUGGGUGUAAUGAUUCUUUCUUUGCAUGCCAGUUUCUAUUUGUACAUCUGAUUACCUUUGCACAUGAAUGAUAAGUCUCCUGUGGGGGGUGGAUUGCAUGUGCAUGUAAUGAUUUGUGUUUUGAUAAAUGUGUCUGGUGUAUAUGUGUGUUCCUGUGCUUGGGGAUGCUUCCUUCCUUGGACUUACAAGCCCUGACACACACAUGCUGGCAAAAUGCUUUUGCUUGACCCG
RNAcentral lists this ribosomal RNA (665 nucleotides) under Alexandrium tamarense. RNAcentral describes it as "eukaryotic LSU rRNA". It matches the Rfam family "Eukaryotic large subunit ribosomal RNA", at positions 43 to 651 of the family's 3401-position model. The record is from RNAcentral. Lineage: Eukaryota; Dinophyceae; Gonyaulacales; Pyrocystaceae.